UGCGAUUUUUCAUCCAAUUCAAUCAUAUAUAUGCUCAAAAUCUUCGCGGUAAGUUUCUCUUCACCAUAAAAUUUGACCGAAUAAGUUUCAAAACAAUGCGACGGCAAAAAAUGCAAAAAUCCUGAUUUUCGUAAUAGAAUCUAUAGUCUUUUUGCCCUGCUGUACCGCCAUCUUGGAUUUAUCAUGUAGGCCCCGCCUGCGCUAGGUAUGCGUUAGCAAUCUAG
Paramuricea clavata is the source of this 224-nucleotide non-coding RNA. The record is from the annotation of a GenBank genome assembly. Lineage: Eukaryota; Metazoa; Cnidaria; Anthozoa; Malacalcyonacea; Plexauridae.